RNAcentral lists this ribosomal RNA (381 nucleotides) under uncultured eukaryote. Its description in RNAcentral is "SSU rRNA". It matches the Rfam family "Eukaryotic small subunit ribosomal RNA", at positions 587 to 972 of the family's 1831-position model. The record is from RNAcentral.
AGCUCCAAUAGCGUAUAUUAAAGUUGUUGCAGUUAAAUAGCUCGUAGUUGAAUUUUGGGCUGGGCUGGGUGGUCAUGGCGCAAGCUAUGCACUACUCUGGUCUGGUCUUUCCUUCUGGGGAUCUAUCGUGCUCUUUACUGGGUGCGGUAGGGAACCAGGACUUUUACUUUGAAAAAAUUAGAGUGUUCAAAGCAGGCAUUUGCUCGAAUACAUUAGCAUGGAAUAAUAGAAUAGGACCCUGGUUCUAUUUUGUUGGUUUCUAGGACCGAGGUAAUGAUUAAUAGGGAUAGUUGGGGGCAUUAGUAUUUAAUUGUCAGAGGUGAAAUUCUUGGAUUUAUGAAAGACUAACUUCUGCGAAAGCAUUUGCCAAGGAUGUUUUCA